Long non-coding RNA from Triticum dicoccoides, 549 nucleotides. RefSeq lists it as uncharacterized. The transcript has 3 exons. Lineage: Eukaryota; Viridiplantae; Streptophyta; Magnoliopsida; Poales; Poaceae. The record is from RefSeq and is a predicted model, not a curated record.
UUUUGGCUCGCUUGCCCCUCGAGCGCUGUUAUCUAUUCAUUUAGCGCAUAAGGAAAGAAUCUGGACUUAACAAAUUUGGAAAUGCCAAAUCUGCCCUCGUCCAGUUUUCCUCAAACGCACGAGACAAAGGCCCGAGGCCUGGCCCGUUCUUCAUUCUAUCUCCCCUCCCCGACUUGACCUAGCCGCCAGCCGCUAGUCGCCAGUCGCCAGAGCCGCUGCGCCCGCCGUCCGCCGCCCUGCUCCGCCGCGUUUCCCCCCCAUCCGCCGCCUCCCAUCGCUGGCCCAAGGUUUUGUGUGUGAUUUGCAUGGGAUUUGAGUGGGAGGGGCUGGAUUGACUAAGGGGUGUGAUGGAUCUGAAAAGGAUCGAUGCAAUGUCUGUGCAUGAUUCUAACCAAUCCAGUGUGAUAAACCUAACCACGGGGGCGAUCUCAGGCAAUGAAGUAGAAAAUGGUCGUGCUACUAUUGAUUGGUCAAGCCUUGUGAUUGAACCAGAAAAUGAUGGGGAUGAAAAACCGCCGGACGAGAAAGCCAUGUUUGCUCUGUUUGGUU